UCCAACCGAUACUUUGAGUUUUCCACCAAAAUUGCAAAGUUAGUUUCCUACUAUUGUUGAUGCACCGCAACAUGACUCAGAAUUCAUUCCAAGACAAAAGCAUCUAAAUACUUCCACCCCUUUUUCUCUAGCUCCUCAGUAUAAGCCUGCUACAUUCACAAUACCACAUGUCGUCUGUGAUUUUAUUUCUCAAUCCUCUACUUAGGCUUCUACAUUGGUUAGCCACCCAACGGUUGUACU
This 240-nucleotide long non-coding RNA is filed under the name Capsicum annuum. RNAcentral describes it as "long non-coding RNA (CANN_LNC009700)". Lineage: Eukaryota; Viridiplantae; Streptophyta; Magnoliopsida; Solanales; Solanaceae. The record is from RNAcentral.